GUCCUCUUGAUGAUAUUUUGAGGUCUGGCCUGCUCACUGACAAGGUUUUGAAGAGCCGCGGUAUUUUGACCGUGCAAAGGUAGCAUAAUCAUUAGUCUCUUAAUUAGGGGCUGGAAUGAAUGGCUUGACGAGAAAUCAACUGUCUCUUAAUAAUUUUUAAAAUUUAACUUUUGAGUCAAAAGGCUUAAAUUUUUCUUUAGGACGAGAAGACCCUAUAGAGCUUAACAUUUUAUUUUUAUAUAGUUUUUAGUUGAUCUUUCUAUAUUUAAUGAUAAUGUUUUGUUGGGGUGACAUGAAGAAUAAUUAAACUCUUCAUUAUAAAAUCAUUGAUUUAUGUUUAUCAUGAUCCAUAAUUUAUGAUCAUAAGAUUAAGUUACCUUAGGGAUAACAGCGUAAUUGUUUUCGAGAGCUCAUAUCGACAAAGCAGAUUGCGACCUCGAUGUUGGAUUAAGAAAAAUUUUGGGUGCAGGAGCCCAAUAAUUAGGUCUGUUCGACCUUUAAAUUCUUACA
This 510-nucleotide ribosomal RNA is filed under the name Calliptamus barbarus. Its description in RNAcentral is "partial large subunit ribosomal RNA". It matches the Rfam family "Bacterial large subunit ribosomal RNA", at positions 1830 to 2600 of the family's 2925-position model. The record is from RNAcentral. Lineage: Eukaryota; Metazoa; Arthropoda; Insecta; Orthoptera; Acrididae.